GACGAACGCUGGCGGCGUGCCUAAUACAUGCAAGUAGAACGCUGAAGAGAGGAGCUUGCUCUUCUUGGAUGAGUUGCGAACGGGUGAGUAACGCGUAGGUAACCUGCCUUGUAGCGGGGGAUAACUAUUGGAAACGAUAGCUAAUACCGCAUAACAAUGGAUGACACAUGUCAUUUAUUUGAAAGGGGCAAUUGCUCCACUACAAGAUGGACCUGCGUUGUAUUAGCUAGUAGGUGAGGUAAUGGCUCACCUAGGCGACGAUACAUAGCCGACCUGAGAGGGUGAUCGGCCACACUGGGGCUGAGACACGGCCCAGACUCCUACGGGAGGCAGCAGUAGGGAAUCUUCGGCAAUGGGGGCAACCCUGACCGAGCAACGCCGCGUGAGUGAAGAAGGUUUUCGGAUCGUAAAGCUCUGUUGUAAGUCAAGAACGGGUGUGAGAGUGGAAAGUUCACACUGUGACGGUAGCUUACCAGAAAGGGACGGCUAACUACGUGCCAGCAGCCGCGGUAAUACGUAGGUCCCGAGCGUUGUCCGGAUUUAUUGGGCGUNAAGCGAGCGCAGGCGGUUUGAUAAGUCUGAAGUUAAAGGCUGUGGCUCAACCAUAGUUCGCUUUGGAAACUGUCAAACUUGAGUGCAGAAGGGGAGAGUGGAAUUCCAUGUGUAGCGGUGAAAUGCGUAGAUAUAUGGAGGAACACCGGUGGCGAAAGCGGCUCUCUGGUCUGUAACUGACGCUGAGGCUCGAAAGCGUGGGGAGCGAACAGGAUUAGAUACCCUGGUAGUCCACGCCGUAAACGAUGAGUGCUAGGUGUUGGAUCCUUUCCGGGAUUCAGUGCCGCAGCUAACGCAUUAAGCACUCCGCCUGGGGAGUACGACCGCAAGGUUGAAACUCAAAGGAAUUGACGGGGGCCCGCACAAGCGGUGGAGCAUGUGGUUUAAUUCGAAGCAACGCGAAGAACCUUACCAGGUCUUGACAUCCCGAUGCUAUUUCUAGAGAUAGAAAGUUACUUCGGUACAUCGGUGACAGGUGGUGCAUGGUUGUCGUCAGCUCGUGUCGUGAGAUGUUGGGUUAAGUCCCGCAACGAGCGCAACCCCUAUUGUUAGUUGCCAUCAUUCAGUUGGGCACUCUAGCGAGACUGCCGGUAAUAAACCGGAGGAAGGUGGGGAUGACGUCAAAUCAUCAUGCCCCUUAUGACCUGGGCUACACACGUGCUACAAUGGUUGGUACAACGAGUUGCGAGUCGGUGACGGCGAGCUAAUCUCUUAAAGCCAAUCUCAGUUCGGAUUGUAGGCUGCAACUCGCCUACAUGAAGUCGGAAUCGCUAGUAAUCGCGGAUCAGCACGCCGCGGUGAAUACGUUCCCGGGCCU
RNAcentral lists this ribosomal RNA (1369 nucleotides) under uncultured bacterium. Its description in RNAcentral is "bacterial SSU rRNA". It matches the Rfam family "Bacterial small subunit ribosomal RNA", at positions 28 to 1381 of the family's 1533-position model. The record is from RNAcentral.